AGGGAGACGGGUGUGUUUGCGUUGG
Molecule: non-coding RNA, 25 nt
Filed under: Cricetulus griseus (Chinese hamster)
Lineage: Eukaryota; Metazoa; Chordata; Mammalia; Rodentia; Cricetidae
Source: RNAcentral